This 814-nucleotide long non-coding RNA is filed under the name Olea europaea subsp. europaea. The record is from RNAcentral. Lineage: Eukaryota; Viridiplantae; Streptophyta; Magnoliopsida; Lamiales; Oleaceae.
UUCUUUCUUCAAAAAUCAGUUUACUUAUAACUUCUGCUAAAUUUUAGUUUCUUUUCCAUACGUCAAAAUGGGUUUGAUAUGUCUCAUAAGAAGAUGGAAUGACCAUACAAAUCUUAAUGCUUUAUGCUUAGCAUCAAUUUUAACUCCAACAGUCUCCAAUUAAAAAACAAUCACACAGUGAGCACUCAUUAUGAUUAAUAAAUGAUUUCACGAAAUGAAAAAAAUUUACAAUCAUAUAGAAUUUUACCAAUUUUUUUUCUCCAUAGAGUCAAAAUCCCAACACUAUUAGCCCAUGGCAUACUUCUGAGUCCAACUCCUUGCGAUGGCUUCGUACUUCUUCUUGUCUGUCUCUCACAUGUAAGCAAUCUCAGGCACCAAAGGAUCAUCAGUGACUGGAUCCGCGAACAAAGCAGAAAUUAUAAGUAAUACAUAAAAUUGGAAAACCAAUCAAUUCAACUCCAUUAGAAAGUUGAGCUUGAAUUACUGAGCCAUUGCAACUGAAGGAGCAAUUUAUUCAGUUUAGACAAAAAAAUAUCAUCUUUAGGGAUAUUAGAUCCCUUAUCUUAGCUACCGGAUCAACAAGUUUGUGGCAUCUUUUAAUCUCUACACUAGAAGAUUCCUUCCAGAUGACGUUAAAAAUUACAUCAGAAAAAAAAAUAAAAAAAAUCAGUGAAGAUUGAGAGGGAGAGAUGUAAAUGAAGAUUAGUCGUAGUGGAAGACUACAGUGCAAUUAGGGCUGUCAAUAGAUUGAAUUUUAAUUCGAAUCCGAUGAAAUUAAUGGGAGAUGGAUUUAGGAUUUUAGUCUGAUAAUCCG